UGAGUACGAGAUGCUACGGCAUCGAAGCAGUCUAUGUCAUACUUCCAAGAAAAGCUUGCAAUGUCAUAAACAAAUAAUGCCUGUACCAUAACCGACACAGGUGGGUAGGUAGAGUAUACUAAGGGGCGCGAGAUAACUCUCUCUAAGGAACUCGGCAAAAUGACUCCGUAACUUCGGGAGAAGGAGUGCCUUAUUUCUAUAAGGUUGCAAUAACAAGAUCCAAGCAACUGUUUACCAAAAACACAGGUCUCCGCUAAGUCGUAAGACGAUAUAUGGGGGCUGACGCCUGCCCAGUGCCAGAAGGUUAAAGAAGUUGGUUAGCAUUAGCGAAGCUGAUAACUGAAGCCCUGGUGAACGGCGGCCGUAACAAUAACGGUCCUAAGGUAGCGAAAUUCCUUGUCGGGUAAGUUCCGACCCGCACGAAAGGAGUAAUGAUUUGGAUACUGUCUCGGAGAGGGGCUUGGUGAAAUAGACUUGUCUGUGAAGAUGCGGACUACCUGCACCUGGACAGAAAGACCCUAUGAAGCUUUACUGUAACUUGAGAUUGAAAUUGGACUUUAUCUGCGCAGUAUAGGUGGGAGACGUUGAAAAUAUUCUUGCGGGAAUAUUGGAGUCAUCAGUGAGAUACCACUCUUAUAAUGUUAGAUUUCUAACUUUGUAUCAUUAUCUGGUCAAAGAACAGUUUCAGGCGGGCAGUUUGACUGGGGCGGUCGCCUCCCAAACGGUAACGGAGGCGCACAAAGGUUUCCUCUGAACGUGUAGAAAUCGUAUCUAGAGUGUAAAGGCAUAAGGAAGCUUGACUGUGAGACCUACAAGUCGAGCAGGGACGAAAGUCGGUCUUAGUGAUCUGACGGUGCUGAGUGGAAAGGCCGUCACUCAACGGAUAAAAGUUACUCUAAGGAUAACAGGCUGAUCUCCCCCAAGAGUUCACAUCGACGGGGAGGUUUGGCACCUUGAUGUCGGCUCAUCGCAUCCUGGGGCGGUAGUACGUCCCAAGGGUUGGGCUGUUCGCCCAUGAAAGCGGUACGCGAGCUGGGUUCAGAACGUCGUGAGACAGUUCGGUCCAUAUCCGGUGUAGGCGUUAGAGUAUUGAGAGGAGCCUUCUUUAGUACGAGAGGACCGAGAAGGACAUACCUCUGGUGUACCAGUUAUCGUGCCAACGGUAAACGCUGGGUAGCCAUGUAUGGAGAGGAUAACCGCUGAAAGCAUCUAAGUGGGAAGCCCACCUCAAGAUAAG
RNAcentral lists this ribosomal RNA (1237 nucleotides) under metagenome. Its description in RNAcentral is "bacterial LSU rRNA". It matches the Rfam family "Bacterial large subunit ribosomal RNA", at positions 1564 to 2808 of the family's 2925-position model. The record is from RNAcentral.